UAGCUGAGCGGUAAAGCGCUUGGCUUCCGAACCGGAGACCUGGGUUCGAAUCCUGG
Biomphalaria glabrata is the source of this 56-nucleotide non-coding RNA. The record is from Rfam. Lineage: Eukaryota; Metazoa; Mollusca; Gastropoda; Planorbidae.